ACAGCACGCACAGCCUCCCACUGCUGCUCCCAUCCCCCUGCAUGGCAUGGCCUCAAAAUGUCUUGUGUUCUUCCAAUUCUGCAUGCUGACUCCUUCCUCUACGUAUUUAUUUUGCAUCUGUAUCAUUAAAAAGAGAUUUAAGAGACCUGGUACUUCAAAGAAGGGGAAAAUAAUGAAACAUCCUUCCCAAGGAAUUAAAAUGAAGAGUGAAAGCUGUUAUUGAAGACCAGUCCCGCAGAUGGAACCCAAAUGGAACUCCAUUGAACCAAAUGGACAAAAUUUCCUGCUAGAUUGGAUCUAGAAGAUGAUGUUUUCUGUGUGGAUCUAUCCUCUCGGCUAAAUACAUUUUCCCAUUCCCUAGCUGAAAUGGGAAAUGAGGACUGCACAUGUUCGUAGUGCUCUGUGUCUCAGUCCUAGAAAGUCCAACAGGUUCACACUGCUAAUGUUGUGCCUGAGAAGCAUCUGUCUGAUUUUCACACAUGUAACUGGUUGUAGCUGUUGCUAGAGCUCAUAUGUGCACGAGCUAGAACAAAGUUUGGACUGAACAUAUGCCUCAUUCCCUGUGUUUACUUCAAGGUGCUGACAAAUGCAUGAAUGGAGUUACUCCCUCUCCUGGACAGAUUAUAAUCUAGGCAAGUAAAUCUUGAUCUCCUGAUGAUGGGAGUCCCUUAGUGAGGCAGGGACACUCUCCAGCCCUACUCCAUUAGCCCAGAUCUCCCAUCAGCCAGACGGGGAGGAUGAGGAGCACUGCUAACCUCGAGCCUUGCAGUGUCCUGAGCCUUGAUCUGUGAGACAGACACACAAAAUACACCAAGGAUGGCUCAGUGAAAACAAAAACCAGGAGUCUUCCCACUAGGACUGGCUGAGUGCUUUUGCAACCAGAGCAGAAUCUCUAUCACAAUCCUGCCUUUUAUCUCAUGGAAGCAGGCAGUGGUUAAUACACCUUAUUUAAUAGUCAUGUGGUUGUCUGAUUUGGGAUGAUAGGCUUCAAGUGGCAGGUGGACCCAAUUCUGCAAAGUGCUGAGCUCUGCAUAAGAGAUGCCAGCUCGCUGCCCUCCUGGUGUUACAAAGAGCCAAGAGCACAUUCAUGAGGUGUGUUGAAGUCAGCACCUCCUGUUUCAGUUCCACCACAUGUCCUCCUUGCCAUUCAACUUAAUUCUAUCUGGAAAUUUUCUAAUACCCAGAGGAUGCUCCUCAUGAGCCUUUUCUUAAGCCCCUCUUUCAUUGAUUAGCUGUGCUGAAGCAGGGCCAGAACAAUUGAUACGGGACAAUUUAAAGUAUCCUGAAGGUUUAUAAUUACAUUUGCACCUUCUUGAGCCAUUUUCUAGACCCUUUAUUUCAUAGAUGAAGCCAAAUCAGCAUCAUUUUGUCUUAGGAACUUUUUAAAAAGGUGCCCUUUUAGGCUGGCAAUAAUAAUACAAGUUUAUCAUAAAGCUUCCUGCAGCAAAAUCUUAUUCAGCCACACACAAUCUUAAAAGUGUUGCUCUGAGAACUACAGACAGACUUCUUGGGAAAUGCCAGAGGAGGUGUUUGGCUUUCAGCUGUACUGCAAUAGACAGCUAAUUAAAUGCUUUGCUAAUAAUAGUAUCCUGUGUAUGAGGAGAUAAGCUCAAUUACUUAUUGAAUUUAAGUGGAGUUUUGCAGACAUGUUGGCAUAUUCCUUGUAGCUAAACCAACUUUUUUUUAGCAAUACAAUUCACUCUCCUUUCUAUUUCUCUAGUUUAGAUGUAUCAUUAAUGAACAAAAAAUGUCACUGAUGGAAAAAAACAAAUCUGACAUUUCUUAGCUAAAGCUCCAUUACUAAAUAAAAAAUAACCAUCUACUCAAUACAAUAAUGGCAGACACUCACCAUAAAAAUCUUCAAAAGAAGACAAUGGAAGUCCUCCUGCUGGCUUACAGCAAAACUAGACAAAAUGUAGGAUUGUUGUCACCAGAAUUUGUUUGCAGUCUGUAUGUAAUCCAUGGACCACACAAUGCUGUGAAAUUCAGUACUUUCAGCACAUAAUCAACAACACUUUCACAAUGAGCAGGAAAAAUGGAUUCCUCCUCCCAGAUUCUUUAGGAAAUACACAGUUUUUCAGUGUAUUUCCAGUGUCACAACUCUUCUUAGAUUAAGAUACCAGACUUCGUACUCUUCACACUCCAUACUCUCAGAAAGGACAGCGGUAAUUUGGAGCUAGAGAACACAGCCCCAAAUUAAAAGAAAAAUGAUUGUUCAUGGAGCAAUAAUGCCAUUUGUUUCAUCUCCUUAGGGCAUGCCUACCCAACUCAGCAGGGCCAUGCAAGAGAACUAUUGACACAGUGCCAUGAACAAGGGAGAGGAUUCUUCCCCUCUACCCUGCCCCUGUGAGAUUCCACCUGGAUUCCACCUGGAAUCCAGCCCUGGAGCCCUCAGCACAUGGAAAACAUGGACCUGUUGGAGCAAGGAAAGCCCCAAAGAUGAUCACAGGUCUGGAGCACCUGUCCAGGAAAGAGAGUCUGAGAGAGCUGGGGUUCUUUAGCCCAGAGAAGAGCAGGCUCUGGUGAGACUCUAUAGCACCUUCUAGUUUCUAAAAUGAGCCUAGAAAGAGGAAUUUUCUACAUGGGCAUGUAGUGAUAGGACAAGGGGAAAGGCUUUAAGAUGACGGAGGACAGGUUUAGAUCAGAUAUUAGGAGGACAUUCUUUACCAUGAGGGUGGUAAGGCACUGGUACAGGCUUCCCAGAGAAGUUGUGGAUGCUCCCUCCCUGGAAGCGCUCAAGGCCAGGUUGGAUGGGGCUCCAAGCCACCUGGUCUAGUGGAAGGUGCCCCUGCCCACGACAGGAGGGUUGGAACUAGGUGAACUUUAAAGUCUGCUUCAACCCAAACCAUUUUAUGAUUUUAUGAUUCUAUGAUUCUGUGACCCACUGGAGGGUGAUGAAGAUGACUGGAGGCUGCAAAUAGCACAUGAGGAAGGGGCCAGGGAGUCAUCCUGUUUGGCUCAGAGAAAGGAAGGCUGAGGAGCAAUUUCACUGUGGAGCCAACAUCCAACUGGUUCAUGAUGGGAAAGGCACAGCCCUGGAACAAGGGUCUGGUCAUGUGGGGAAGUUUCCAUCUGUGGUGAUUCUCAAAACUUGCUGAGUUGCACUGAGCAACCUGACCAAAUUUUGAAUUUAGCCUUGCUUUAAAUACGUGCUUGGACUAGAUGUUCUCCAGAGAUCCCUAAAUAACUCUGCCUGAAGACACUGGGGAAAUUAAGGAAGCAGGUAUCACUAGUGGCCACAGCAUAUAGAAAGCAAAUAAAGGAACUUCAUCUGACCAUGGUUUUUAUUGUAAAAUGACUUCUCUAUUAAUGGCCUGGGGUCCACUAAGCAGCUUCUAGACCUUAAUUAAGGUAGUUAUUUCAAAGAUAAUUAGCAUUUAAUACCUAAGUAUACUUAAUAAUUUCCUAAAUGCUUCCUAAAUUGCCUGAAUUUGAGCUCUGCUGUAACAGAUAACCCUGUAUGAAACAAGGAACCAAAAAGUAGAAGGAUGCUGACUUAGUAUUAAAAUUCUCCACAGCACCAACCCUCUAAAAGACACAAUGGUAUUCUACACACUACAGCAAAAUAGUCCAAGCCAAAAGAUUUAUGUUCAUUUAAUAAUAAAUAAUUUCAUGAGACUGUGAGAACUCAUGAACUUUGGCCUUGAAUACUGCAGACCUCAAAAUUUCCCAGUGAGGUUAAGUGAUCUAAAUGAUGACAACUCCUCCAGUGCUACUCUACUUGUUCUGUGUCAAGGAAGGGUUGUUCUAAGUUGUGAUUUCUCUUGUAAUUAAAAGGAGGGGUUGGUACAAAUAAGGGCCCGUGUUUCAAAACACUUGUAUUUGGAAAGGAAAAGAAAAAUGCAGAGCUAAAAUGGAUGGUGAUAAGAAAAGGAAAAGAGAGACUGAAAAAACCAAAACAGCCAGUGACAUAAUGGAACUUGACUCUGAGCUGCAUAAAUAAACACAGCUACAGUGUCUUGCAGAAUUUAGGAAAAUGCCCUGAGCACAUGAAAUGUGGUGGUUACCAUAGCAAUUUACAUACAGUCAUACAUCAGACAAAUCUUGAAACUCUUUUCUGGUUUAAACUCCCAAUUGAGAACACAGGAUCAGGUACAAAGAGCAAACCUCUUGUCCACUCUGGUUGAGACAUUAUUGAUGUCAUUCCAUAGGGGUCAGCUCACACCCUGUGAUGAGUGACCACCCUCACAGUGCAGGGCUUUUCACUCUGGGAGCAGCUGUUUGCUCCACACCUCUCUGUGUGUGUGUGUGUGUAUGGGGAGUAGCACAGAGCAAAUCCCCUUCCUCUAAGGGAUGUGGCUGAAUCCAACACAGAGCUGCUCCUUCUGCCCCUGCCACCUCUGUAUGGCAUCCUGUUCUGUGGCGAUGCACGCAGCUGCUGUGAACCUGUGUGCUGCACUGCUAUCUCCAGGACCCAGCAGCUCACUGCAUCAGCCACCUGGCAUGGGCAGAUCAGCUGCUGGUGCUUUGUGCCUGUCUGGAUGCCCAGAGUGCCCAGCAUUGCCCGAGCCUGCUCUGUCUGGGGCCAGGUGUGACUAGCUAGGAGCAUCCCUGCCCCAACAGCUCUGGAUCAGCUCUGACUGGGAUGGGGCUGAUUUUCUUCAUAGUGCCUCAUGGGGUGCCAUGCUUUGAGUUUGUGUCUAAAACAGUGAUGCUUAAGACACCAAAGUGUGUUAUACUCCUUUCCAAUUCCCCAAAUUAGGAAAGAUUAGGGAAAACUAGGAAUAUUAGGAAAAGGGCAGAAGCUGGGGAGCAGCUGCCAGGCUGAAAUGGCACAGGGACCUUCUUGCCCUGCUCCACUCCCCUUGCAUGUCCUCCCAGCUGACUGUGGGUGACAUUGCUGCCUGCUUGGAGGUGAACUGAGGAUGGGGUAAGCACGUGUCUGCUUAUGGAAGGGACACAGGCUCUAGGGCCAAGAAUGGUGACAUCCAAGGGAGCAGGCAGCCACCACCUCCACUAGCAGGAGAUGAUGCUCCACUGAUUUGGGUUAUCUGGGAGCCUGCCUGGAUGUGUUGCUGGCAUUGCUGGAGUCCAGACAGCUCAGCCUGAACAUCCCAAGCAGCCCUGCAAGAGCUCGGAGCGGGUGCGUGCCAAAGACUCUGACUCAGGGACAGCAAAAGAAGAAAGAGUCAAUACAUCUGGACAUGCACUGAAAAGAUGAAAAGGCAAAAAAAAAAAAGAUGUUGUUCUCAGGUCUAUGGCCAGAGGGAAAGUAAGGAGCAAAAUGGUGAAUGAGUCAUGGCUCUCAGCUGCCUGGGCCAUUAAUAGAGGGAGACAAGGGGAUGGGUGAAGGGAUGCACUGGAGAGAGCACCUGGGUGCUGCAGAUGGGAACUGGCUGCACUCAGCUCUCUCUCAAGGGCAUCCUUCCUGGAGGUCUCCCUUCCUGGUAGAUAAACAAGCUGCACAGACCUGUUGUGCUGGAGCCUGACAUCCUGAAGAAUAAACAAAGGUGUGUUUCACUGGAGAUGGGAAUGACAAGGAAAGGCAGAAUCAAAAGUUCCCUUGAUGAGAAAGAUCUCUCCCUGUCAGAGAUCACAUUCUCCUCAGCAACACCCACAGCUGCUGAGGCUACAACUUCACUUUCAAUAAAACACUUCCACAAACUACUCCUUACCUGUGAUAAUGCAACCGCAGCCUGCUUGGCACAGCUCAUGGCAGGAGUGUGCUGCAGAGACCUGCUGGAGACAAGGCUUGUCUCCUUCCUGCCCUGGGGCUUUAGGAAAUUUGGGACAGAAACUGCCAGCUCAGUGAGUCCUCUCCAGCCUCAACACCACUUUGUUCUGCACUGCAGUACUGCAGUGGCACUUGGGAUCCUACCUGGACAAGCAGGCGAGCACAAGCUCAAACAUAAACCUCUGAGCCAUCACUUUUGACAGCUGGACUGGUCAUGGCCAAGCACCAUCAGCUGCAGGCUGCCCCUGGGCUGCAGGGAACAGACAGAACUGAUGCCGUGUGACAGCAGAUCUGGAGGAAUCAUUAUAUUGUGUUCCCACUUCAACAGUUGAAAAUAAUUAAUUUUCAGGAUAUGGAUAUGCAAAAGACUUUAUGCUGCUUCUGUGCCAAUGCACAAGGUGUUCUGUCAGACUUUCUCCACCUGCCAUCUCUUAGUGUCCUAAAAAAAGGAUUAAAUGAAAACAGGAUUUUUUUUCCACUGGGCUCUUUACAGUUCACAAGGAAUCUUCCAGUAUCACUUAGCAAAUGAAAUUAUACUUCCUUCUUCCCCCAACCCUCCUCCAAGUGUAAAUUUUAAUUCAAAUAAA
Molecule: long non-coding RNA, 6261 nt
Organism: Poecile atricapillus (Black-capped chickadee)
Lineage: Eukaryota; Metazoa; Chordata; Aves; Passeriformes; Paridae
Exons: 3
Source: RefSeq, a predicted model, not a curated record